GGAUGUUAGGUGAUCUGGCUGUAACUUCUGCUACCUCAUCAAUUCUGUGGGUUCACUCAGCAGAUCUGGCUGGCUAAGCAGUUGCCCCUCCCUCUUUAAGUGAUUUAUGUCCAUCUAUUACCCAAUUGUCCACUCAGUGGAAGGAGAUGGCUGUCUCUCAGAGAGGAGGGUCCUUCCUUGUUGUACAAGUAGCAGUGCUGCCCGCUAGAACAUCCAAACAAGCACAAAACUCCCAAAUCACCCCCUCUCCCCGUACAAAUCUGUGAAAAACUAACGUAUGGAUCCUUUCUC
Unclassified non-coding RNA from Dipodomys ordii (Ord's kangaroo rat), 291 nucleotides. Its record names the gene 7SK. It matches the Rfam family "7SK RNA". From Rfam's summary of the family: 7SK was discovered as an abundant small nuclear RNA in the mid-70s but a possible function has only recently been suggested. Two independent studies have found that 7SK RNA binds the CDK9/cyclin T complex (known as elongation factor P-TEFb). NCBI's taxonomy places the organism in Eukaryota, Metazoa, Chordata, Mammalia, Rodentia, Heteromyidae. The record is from Ensembl.